Molecule: ribosomal RNA, 234 nt
Filed under: Triticum aestivum (bread wheat)
Lineage: Eukaryota; Viridiplantae; Streptophyta; Magnoliopsida; Poales; Poaceae
Description: partial small subunit ribosomal RNA
Source: RNAcentral
AUGCUGGAGCCCAGGAGCCAGACGCCACCAUCGACGACGACUCCUACUACACCAGAGGUGCCUACUACUACGUGCAGGCCGCUGACGACGACCAGGAGUAGUUUAGGAGGAUCCCAGGCAGGAGGCCUGCGCCUCUUUCGAUCGGUAUCCCAGUUUGUGCUAGCCUUCUUAAGGCAAACUUGUUUAACUUAUGUCUGUACUCACAUAUUGUUGCUUCCGCUGACUCAUCUAUAA